GUUAGUUUAGAAAGGAGAGAAGGUUAGCACUCCCCUUGAGAAGGAUAGAAGAGGUUCUAGUGGCCUUUAUACAGCAUGGCUCAGUGGAAAGAGCACGGGCUUGG
RNAcentral lists this non-coding RNA (104 nucleotides) under Ornithorhynchus anatinus (platypus). Lineage: Eukaryota; Metazoa; Chordata; Mammalia; Monotremata; Ornithorhynchidae. The record is from RNAcentral.